Molecule: ribosomal RNA, 1368 nt
Filed under: metagenome
Description: bacterial LSU rRNA
Rfam family: Bacterial large subunit ribosomal RNA
Source: RNAcentral
AAAAUCCGCUGUACAAUCCGAAGACGUGAUGCGGACCGAAUUAAGAGUAGGGAAGUGUGUGAGCCAUGCGUCAAGAAAAGCCGCUAUUGUUUUACUUAAGCCCGUACCGUAAACCGACACAGGUGGAUGAGGAGAGAAUCCUAAGGCCGACGGGAGAAGCAUUGUUAAGGAACUCGGCAAAAUGACUCCGUAACUUCGGGAGAAGGAGUGCCAGCGAGAGCUGGCCGCAGAGAAUUGGCCCAAGCAACUGUUUAGCAAAAACACAGGUCUAUGCAAAACCGUAAGGUGAAGUAUAUGGGCUGACGCCUGCCCGGUGCUGGAAGGUUAAGAGGAGAGGUUAGCGGCAACGCGAAGCUUUGAAUUUAAGCCCCAGUAAACGGCGGCCGUAACAAUAACGGUCCUAAGGUAGCGAAAUUCCUUGUCGGGUAAGUUCCGACCCGCACGAAAGGCGUAAUGAUUUGGGCACUGUCUCAACAAUACACCCGGUGAAAUUGAAAUACCAGUGAAGAUGCUGGUUACCUGCGCCAGGACGGAAAGACCCCAUGGAGCUUUACUCCAGCUUGAUACUGGGAUUCGGUAUUGCAUGUACAGGAUAGGUGGGAGGCUAGGAAGUGAUAACGCCAGUUGUCACGGAGCCGCUGUUGGGAUACCACCCUUGCAGUAUUGGAUUUCUAACCAGCGACCAUGAACUGGUCGGGGGACAAUGUCAGGUGGGGAGUUUGACUGGGGCGGUCGCCUCCGAAAGGGUAUCGGAGGCGCUCAAAGGUUCCCUCAGAAUGGACGGAAACCAUUCGAAGAGUGCAAAGGCAGAAGGGAGCUUGACUGCGACACCGACGGGUGGAGCAGGUACGAAAGUAGGACUUAGUGAUCCGGUGGUAUAAAGUGGGAUUGCCAUCGCUCAACGGAUAAAAGCUACCCUGGGAUAACAGGCUUAUCACUCCCAAGAGUUCACAUCGACGGAGUGGUUUGGCACCUCGAUGUCGGCUCAUCGCAUCCUGGGGCUGAAGUAGGUCCCAAGGGUUGGGCUGUUCGCCCAUUAAAGCGGUACGCGAGCUGGGUUCAGAACGUCGUGAGACAGUUCGGUCCCUAUCCGGCGUGGGCGUAGGAUAUUUGAGAGGAGCUGUCCUUAGUACGAGAGGACCGGGAUGGACUGGCCGCUGGUGUAUCUGUUGCAUACCAAAUGCAUGGCAGAGUAGCCAAGCCGGGACGGGAUAAACGCUGAAGGCAUCUAAGCGUGAAGUCCCCCUCAAGAUGAGAUAUCCCUACGUAAGUAGUAAGACCCCUUGAAGACGACGAGGUAGAUAGGUCAGAGGUGGAAGUACAGUAAUGUAUGGAGCUGACUGAUACUAAUCGGUCGAGGGCAUGACC